RNAcentral lists this ribosomal RNA (484 nucleotides) under uncultured bacterium. RNAcentral's name for it is "partial 16S ribosomal RNA". It matches the Rfam family "Bacterial small subunit ribosomal RNA", at positions 30 to 507 of the family's 1533-position model. The record is from RNAcentral.
AUUGAACGCUGGCGGCAGGCCUAACACAUGCAAGUCGAGCGGAUGAAGGGAGCUUGCUCCUGGAUUCCGCGUCGGACGGGUGAGUAAUGCCUAUGAAUCUGCCUGGUAUUGGUGUAUAACGUCCUGAAACGGGCGCUAAUACUACAUACUUCCUGAUGGAGAUACUGGGUGAUCUUCGGACCUCACGCUAUCAUAUGAGCUUAGGUCGGAUUAGCUAGUUUGUGGGGUAAAUGCCUACCAAGGCGACGAUCCGUAACUAGUCUGAGAGGAUGAUCAGUCACCCUGGAAGUGAGACACGGUCAAGACUCCUACGGGAGGCAGCAGUGGGCAAUAUUGGACAAUGGGCGAGAGCCUGAUCCAGCCAUGCCGAGUGUGUGGAGAAGGUCUUCGGAUUGUAAAGACCUUUAAGUUGGGAGGAAGGGCAGUAAGUUAAUACCUUGCUGUUUUGACGGUAACAAGAGAAUAAGCACCGGCUAACUACGUG